RNAcentral lists this ribosomal RNA (496 nucleotides) under uncultured bacterium. RNAcentral describes it as "partial 16S ribosomal RNA". It matches the Rfam family "Bacterial small subunit ribosomal RNA", at positions 29 to 507 of the family's 1533-position model. The record is from RNAcentral.
AUGAACGCUGGCGGCGUGCCUAAUACAUGCAAGUCGAGCGAACGGACGAGAAGCUUGCUUCUCUGAUGUUAGCGGCGGACGGGUGAGUAGCACGUGGAUAACCUACCUAUAAGACUGGGAUAACUUCGGGAAACCGGAGCUAAUACCGGAUAAUAUUUUGAACCGCAUGGUUCAAAAGUGAAAGACGGUCUUGCUGUCACUUAUAGAUGGAUCCGCGCUGCAUUAGCUAGUUGGUAAGGUAACGGCUUACCAAGGCAACGACGCAUAGCCGACCUGAGAGGGUGAUCGGCCACACUGGAACUGAGACACGGUCCAGACUCCUACGGGAGGCAGCAGUAGGGAAUCUUCCGCAAUGGGCGAAAGCCUGACGGAGCAACGCCGCGUGAGUGAUGAAGGUCUUCGGAUCGUAAAACUCUGUUAUUAGGGAAGAACAUAUGUGUAAGUAACUGUGCACAUCUUGACGGUACCUAAUCAGAAAGCCACGGCUAACUACGUG